UAGGGCUAGUGACAACUAAGAUUGGCGGCGUUGUACGGGUGCAACCGGCUGCGGUUGCAAGGCUCCGAAGUAUGUGAAGUCCACUAACAAAAAGUCCAGAAACUCGCCAGUUAAUAGUAUUGUGU
RNAcentral lists this small RNA (125 nucleotides) under Macaca nemestrina (pig-tailed macaque). Its description in RNAcentral is "JPX transcript, XIST activator conserved region 1 (ENSMNEG00000021480.1)". Lineage: Eukaryota; Metazoa; Chordata; Mammalia; Primates; Cercopithecidae. The record is from RNAcentral.